AGAGUUUGAUCCUGGCUCAGAAUGAACNNGNCGGCGUGGCUAAGACAUGCAAGUCGAACGGAACGUAGCAAUACGUUUAGUGGCGGAAGGGUGAGUAAUACAUAGGUAACGUACCCUGGAGUCGGGAAUAACAGUGGGAAACUGCUGCUAAUACCCGAUGAAGUCCCGAGGGGGCAUCUUCUUGGGACCAAAGGAGCAAUUCGCUCUUGGAGCGGCCUAUGUCCUAUCAGCUAGUUGGUGAGGUAACGGCUCACCAAGGCAUUGACGGGUAGCCGGACUGAGAGGUCGGACGGCCACAUCGGGACUGAGACACUGCCCGGACACCUACGGGUGGCUGCAGUAACGAAUAUUGGGCAAUGGGCGCAAGCCUGACCCAGCGACGCCGUGUGCAGGACGGAGCCCUUCGGGGUGUAAACUGCUGUCAGGGAUUACCAACACAAUGAGGAGUCCCAAAGGAAGCCUCGACUAACUCUGUGCCAGCAGUCGCGGUAAUACAGAGGAGGCAAGCGUUAUUCGGAAUCAUUGGGCUUAAAGCGCGUGUAGGCGGCUACGUAAGUGUCCUGUGAAAUCUCAUGGCUCAACCAUGAAACGGCAGGGCAAACUGCGUGGCUUGAGGUCGGUAGGGGUGCUCGGAACUCUAGGUGGAGCGGUGAAAUGCGUAGAUAUCUAGAGGAACGCCAGAGGCGAAAGCGGAGCACUGGGCCGAUUCUGACGCUGAGACGCGAAAGCGUGGGGAGCAAACAGGAUUAGAUACCCCGGUAGU
RNAcentral lists this ribosomal RNA (763 nucleotides) under uncultured bacterium. RNAcentral's name for it is "bacterial SSU rRNA". It matches the Rfam family "Bacterial small subunit ribosomal RNA", at positions 8 to 794 of the family's 1533-position model. The record is from RNAcentral.